UGGGGAAUUUUGGACAAUGGGGGCAACCCUGAUCCAGCCAUGCCGCGUGCGGGAAGAAGGCCUUCGGGUUGUAAACCGCUUUUGUCCGGAAAGAAAAGGCGCCACCUAAUACGGGGCGUUCUUGACGGUACCGGAAGAAUAAGCACCGGCUAACUACGUGCCAGCAGCCGCGGUAAUACGUAGGGUGCGAGCGUUAAUCGGAAUUACUGGGCGUAAAGCGUGCGCAGGCGGUCCGCAAAGUCUGAUGUGAAAGCCCCGGGCUCAACCUGGGAACUGCAUUGGAAACUAACGGGCUCGAGUGUGGCAGAGGGGGGUGGAAUUCCACGUGUAGCAGUGAAAUGCGUAGAGAUGUGGAGGAACACCGAUGGCGAAGGCAGCCCCCUGGGCUAACACUGACGCUCAGGCACGAAAGCGUGGGGAGCAAACAGGAUUAGAUACCCUGGUAGUCCACGCCCUAAACGAUGUCAACUGAGUGUUGGGGAAGCGAUUCCUCAGUACCGUAGCUAACGCGUGAAGUUGACCGCCUGGGGAGUACGGCCGCAAGGUUAA
RNAcentral lists this ribosomal RNA (549 nucleotides) under uncultured beta proteobacterium. Its description in RNAcentral is "bacterial SSU rRNA". It matches the Rfam family "Bacterial small subunit ribosomal RNA", at positions 355 to 897 of the family's 1533-position model. The record is from RNAcentral. Lineage: Bacteria; Pseudomonadati; Pseudomonadota; Betaproteobacteria.